UCCUUUAUACUUUUAUUUCCACUUUUGUUUCCAAGACUACCAUCUUUUUACAACUAUAAAGGAAGUGACCACAAAGUCAGAUUUAUUCAAAUAUGCUAGCAAAUGCAAAAAUCAUUGUAUUUAGUCAUCAAAUUAACUACACAUCAAUGUAAAGAAAAUACUCUAAUUCUUCUCUGCAAUGGCCUUUGUCAUAGACCUAUAUCCUCCCCAGGAUCAAUCUCUAGCAGCGAUAGAUUUAGAAAUAAGCGUAGUAUUUAAGACACUUGACUAUUUUAACUAACAAACAUUAUUCUGCAACAAGAGAUCACUAAAUGUUAUCCCGAGGCUUAAGAGAAUAUACAUUCCCACAUACAAGUGAAACAAUUAGACUUUUUAUUAUUAUUUUUUCAGUGACAUAAAAGCCAGCAUCAACCAAUGGCUACAACUGGCUAUUCGGCCAUCGCAUAUACUCAAUGAAUAUAAAUUCCAUAUAUUUAAUCUCCAGGCACAGUAUUUUUGAAUCAACUGUCCCAUGACAGCAUAUCUAUGUGAUUAAAUACACUAGUCAGGACAUAAUGACAUAGGUAUGAAAUCCAUUUUUUAGACAUAUGAAUUAUUACAAUAUACAGCGUUUCCAUUUUGUGAUUUGUAGAUUCUCAGUUUUAAGAGUUUUGGUUGAACAUUUCUGGAAAAAUUAGUUCAGGUCUAAUGUUACUACUCAGAUUUUGAAAGGUUUAUAGAUUAAUGUAAUUGUGAUUUUCAAGUAUGCUUCAAGUUAUAUUUCCAGACAUUUUAGGAUGAGGUACUAUUUUAAAAUUUUAAACUACUGGGUUUUUUUUUUUUCAAUUUUUAUGCAGAAGUUAAUAUUAAAACAAAGAUUUUUCUGGUCAUAUCAAAAAUAAAUUUUUAACUAUAGGUGGCUAAACAUAAAACAGAUCUAACUAUAAUGUAAUCCUCCAUAAUGUUUCGAAAUUUCCUUUUGUUGAUUAACAUUGGUCCAGUUCAUGUCUUAUUACCCAGUUUUGUUGUUCUUGACCUUUUUUACUUUUAAAAACUGUUUUGUAAAUAAUGAUGGUAAAUUGGCUCUCUCCUCCAAGAAAAAGGGAAUAUACAUACAAUUGAGGGAAUUUUUUGGCCACCAUAAAGGUCAGCUCAGGAAUCCAUGCCCUACUUGCAGAUUAUAUACAUGUAAAUCUGCUUAUAAAUGAAUUGAGCUUAAAAGUGAACAUGAAAAGAUUUACAUGUUAUAUUUUUCUACUUAUUUCUUCCCUCCAAAGUUACACAAAACAGCUUUACCAUCAGAUUUUUCACAACUGGAUCAGCACAAAUAAGUCACUUUAAAUGAAAAUGUUCAUGUAUUUUUAAAAUGCAACACCUAAAGAAUUAAACUUCAAAUCUCAAAAUGCUUUUAAGAGCAAUAAAGUAACUAUCCGAAUGGACCAAAAAGAUAUAUGGGCUUUUCAAAAUACAAAAUGAAUUCCUUUCCUUUCUAUAAGUUCCAAAAAGAUAGAACAAACUUUUAGUUAAAUAGAGAUCAGAAGGUACAUGCUUAUCUGUAACUGCCAGCUAAUUUCAAAGCAGGUUUUUAAAUGAUUUUAUUAAAGCAUCUGUCUUUAUAUGUAACCUGAAGGUCAAAAAUAAAGGCAUCACUGAUUUUUCUCACACAUCAGAACCAGUCUGUCAAUCCCAGGUUCUAUAUCCAGGAUCUGAUGAGAUCUCACUCCCAAUAUUGCUAUCAUAUGGCCUAAAUCUGAGCCAUCCUCAGCUCUGUGAAUUAGUACAGUGGCUUCACAUCUGGCCUCCCUGUAUCCUCCCUCUCCCUUUAUAUCCCAUUCCUUUCCCCAUAGUACAGUCAGAGUGGUUCUUUUAAAACACAAAUCUUAUAAAAUUGGAUUGUGAUGAUCAUUGUACAACUAUGAAUGUAAUAAAUUCAUUAAUUAAAAAAAAUCACAAAUCACUCAUCUGCUCCAAACCCUCUGAAGUUUCCUUUUGCAUUCAUAGGUAAAGUCAAACUUCUCCUGCCUUUCUUAGCUCAUCUUCUAAGGUUCUUCUCCAGCGCUAACUCUGUUCUAAUCACUCUAGCCAUUUUGCCUGUCCUUAAAAGCAUGCCAAGCCAGCCCUCGACACAGGCAUUCACAAUUGCUCCUCCCUGUCCCUGGAAUGCUCGUGCCCUAGAUAUCUCUAUACCUACUGCCUUCACUUUCUUCAUUGUCACCACAGAAGAGCCACUUUUCCAAACCACCAAUAUUUAAAAAGCAAAUCUCUACACCCUCUCUGCUUCAUUCGUCUUCACGGCAUUUAUUACCAUCAGACAUGCAAGAUAUUAUUUGGUGAAUACUUUUGUUACUCUCACUAGAUUCCAAGUUACAAGAGGGUAGGGACCUUAUCUGUAUUAUUCACUGAUGUUAUCCCUGGGACCUAUAGGAAUGUAUGGCACAUAGUAGGCAUUCCACAAAUGUGUCAAAUAAGUGAAUACUUGGAUGAAAAUUAAGCAGAUGGCCCAGUACCAUCCCUCCUUGGCCUCUUUCAAGUCCUACUCCAAGGGUUCAAGAGGCACCUCUGGAAAUUUAGGGAUUCCUGGGACACACUUUCAAAAUAUGUCUCUUGUCCACAAACAGUAUUUUUAUAAAUACUCAAGUAGGAGCUUCUAGGAGGAGUGUGUGCAGUAUUACUGGACUAUAAUGGAAAUAGUUUUAGACUUGAAGCCUAUUGAGUUAGGCUGACUUAUAUUUCCAAUGCCGGGCAUCGCCCUUGACACGGCCCUGUAACAUACCCUAAACAUUCUAUUCCUUUCAGUGUGCUAGUGCUUGAAACUAAGUUCUUUAUAUAUAACCUGAAAAAAAAAAAAUGACUGGAAAAAAAAGGGAAAAUAGAAUGAUUGAAGGUGUGGGUUGAAAACGUUAUUUACCUUCUCUCCAUCUCCUUCAAAACUCUGUAAUUAUCCCUUUCAUCUAAAACCAUUUUUUAUAAAGCUUAUUUGAGGCAACAUAAACUUAAUUAUAUUGAAUAGAUUUCAUCACAAAAGUCACAAAACCCUCCCUGCAUUUUAAUAAAUUAUUUUGUCCUGCAAUAUAGGUAUCUCUUUUAAAAUCUGUUUCAGAAUCAGUGUACUAGGACUGCGCCUUCGACAAAACAGAUAAAGACAUUCUAUCAAAUGAAGUAAUAUCUAGCAGAUGUUAAUUUCAAGUCGCAUAAUCAAUUGCAGAAUAAACGAAAUUUUACCCUUCUAUAACUUAAUUUUUAUCUUAAGCCCAAAUUCUACCAUAUGGGGAACACUAAAAUCUCAGCCAACUUAAGCCAAUUCACUCUAUCUAGGGGUUCUUCCAACCUGUUCCUAAGGUUGCAAAAAAUUUUCGCAUGGUGUUUCUUGGGCGAUGGCACCUGAUUCUCAUUCAUCAUCAGCCCACACUGGCCUACCACAAACACAUCAAUGCCUGGGCGCCUAACAACUCCUAUCCCAAACUUAAGGCCCUGAUACAAUGGCCUCUGUCAGGUUUAUGCCACUGUUGGGUAAAAAAGAAAACUUUCUGCUGUUCUCAUAACACCUUUCAUACCUAUUCCCAAUGGCCUAGAUACUCUACACAGCUGUCUCAUCUCUACAGCAAAUCUUGCUGCUUUCCUAGAUUCCAUCCCAAAGUAAUUGCUUUCUGCUCUCAGAACUCCAAGCCCUGGAGCACAAGACUCUUUCCUAGAAUCACCUGGGAUUUACAAUUCUGCAUUCCACUAAUGAAUUCCUUUUCUUCAUAGUGUGAAUAAGGAGCACCUAUUCUGAGUGGGGCUAAUGAGUGUGGAUGGACUGACUCUGUAGAACAUUUUAUAUCAUAUAGAAUGUAUAUUUUACACACUUUAUGUCAAGAUAAAAGAAAACGAAGCAGCAAACAACUUUUUUGGUCAAACCCACAAGCUCCAUUAAAUUUUCAAAAAUCAACUUGCAAAGUGGCAGAGUACUACAUUUUGAAAGCUGUAGUUGCCUAAGUAAAGGACAGCCCAUGGUUCAACGUAGUAAUUGUGUGUAUGGGAGCAUGUACUUCAAAAGGUCCUGUGUGAGUGAUAUGACAAAUAUCUGGAAAAAAAAGGAGGGGAAAGAAAACUUGUGAAUUAAACAAAUGAAAAACUACAUGUGUAAACUCAUCCCUUAGAAUAUUUUACUCAAGUUAUGAAAACUAAGUAUUACAGACUUAAACACAUAUAUUCUUUUAAUGAUAAACUCUAUUUUUCCCUAAAAUCUGGGAAAAAAUGAAAAGGUGGCACUCAGGCUUUAUUUACAAUGAAGGGAGAGCUCAUAAAUUUAUAACAUGACAAUUUCAGCAGAAGCCUAGUUGAACCAAUGGAGUAUAACUUGCCUUCACACAGGUUCCCUUAAAGAAUGUUAGUUUUGAACAUGAGAAAAACUAAGAAAAAAAUGGAAUAUGUAUUACUGUUGUAGGCAGAGGGUCAGGGUACAACAGGCUAAAGUAUUCAUAGUAGUCUAAUCCCUGUUUUUUUGUUUAGAGCUGGGUCUUUAAAAAACUUAAGAAAUUAAAGCAAGAAAAUGGUUACGAUUUUUGGUGUGUUUUAAAAUGACAC
Molecule: long non-coding RNA, 4545 nt
Filed under: Sus scrofa (pig)
Lineage: Eukaryota; Metazoa; Chordata; Mammalia; Artiodactyla; Suidae
Description: lncRNA (ENSSSCG00000058644.1)
Source: RNAcentral